GGGUGAGUAACACGUAGGCAACCUGCCGACAGGAUGGGGACAACAUUCCGAAAGGAAUGCUAAUACCGAAUGAAGUGCAGGGGAGGCAUCUCCCCUGCAUGAAAGAUGGCCUCUAUAUAUAAGCUAUCACCUGUCGAUGGGCCUGCGUCUGAUUAGCUGGUUGGUGAGGUAACGGCUCACCAAGGCGACGAUCAGUAGCCGGUCUGAGAGGAUGAACGGCCACAUUGGGACUGAGACACGGCCCAGACUCC
RNAcentral lists this ribosomal RNA (251 nucleotides) under uncultured Selenomonas sp. RNAcentral describes it as "partial 16S ribosomal RNA". It matches the Rfam family "Bacterial small subunit ribosomal RNA", at positions 104 to 339 of the family's 1533-position model. Lineage: Bacteria; Bacillati; Bacillota; Negativicutes; Selenomonadales; Selenomonadaceae. The record is from RNAcentral.